RNAcentral lists this transfer RNA (65 nucleotides) under Bos taurus (domestic cattle). It matches the Rfam family "tRNA". Rfam says of the family: Transfer RNA (tRNA) molecules are approximately 80 nucleotides in length. Their secondary structure includes four short double-helical elements and three loops (D, anti-codon, and T loops). RNAcentral also lists the same sequence under 5 other names. The record is from Rfam by way of RNAcentral. Lineage: Eukaryota; Metazoa; Chordata; Mammalia; Artiodactyla; Bovidae.
UCCUUGAUGGUUAAGACUCUACACUUCCAAUGCAGAGGAGGCAGGUUCGAUCCCUGGUCAGGGAA